This 78-nucleotide ribosomal RNA is filed under the name Massilia sp. Root418. Its description in RNAcentral is "partial 16S ribosomal RNA". It matches the Rfam family "Bacterial small subunit ribosomal RNA", at positions 1 to 71 of the family's 1533-position model. The record is from RNAcentral. Lineage: Bacteria; Pseudomonadati; Pseudomonadota; Betaproteobacteria; Burkholderiales; Oxalobacteraceae.
AGAGAUUGAACUGAAGAGUUUGAUCCUGGCUCAGAUUGAACGCUGGCGGCAUGCUUUACACAUGCAAGUCGAACGGUA